GACCGUGAAGGCAGGGGUAAACAUUCAACUGUCUAGUCAUUGCAGUUGUAAGUAUUACAUAACUGUUGUUGUUGUUAUGCUUGUUACACAUCACUGAGCAUAGAACUGGAUCAACACUUACUUCACCUGGCAUUAGGACAUUUUUGUCUCCACCGCGGAGAGUUCCAAUUCUAUUUACAAAGCUACAGGAAAAAACAAAAUAAAAAACUUCCUGUCA
This is a non-coding RNA of Biomphalaria pfeifferi, 217 nucleotides long. The record is from the annotation of a GenBank genome assembly. NCBI's taxonomy places the organism in Eukaryota, Metazoa, Mollusca, Gastropoda, Planorbidae.